GAUGAACGCUGGCGGCGUGCCUAACACAUGCAAGUCGAACGGACGGACGGGAAGUUUGCUUCUGUGACGUUAGCCGCGCGGGUGUGUGUAACACGUGGAUAACCCCCGUAUAAGACUGGGAUCACUUCGGAACCCGGUAGAUAAUACCGAAUAAUAUUUUGAACCGCAGGGUUCCAUAGUGAAAGACGGUCUUGCGGUCGCUUAUAGAUGGAUCCGCGCUGGAUUGGCUAGUUGGGGAGGUAAAGGCCUACCAAGGGGACGAUGGGUGGCCGGGCUGAGGGGGGGACCAGCCACACUGGGACUGAGACACGGCCCAGAGUCCUAAGGGAGGGAGCAGUGGGGAAUUUUGGGCAAUGGGGGAAAACCUUGUCCAGCAAUCGCGCGUGUGUGAAGAAGGCCUUGGGGUUGUAAAACACUUUUGUCCGGAAAAAAAUCCUUGGCCAUAAUACGGUCGGGGGAUGACGGUACCGGAAGAAUAAGCACCGGCUAACUACGUG
This 497-nucleotide ribosomal RNA is filed under the name uncultured bacterium. RNAcentral describes it as "partial 16S ribosomal RNA". It matches the Rfam family "Bacterial small subunit ribosomal RNA", at positions 28 to 507 of the family's 1533-position model. The record is from RNAcentral.